Molecule: non-coding RNA, 429 nt
Organism: Phascolarctos cinereus (koala)
Lineage: Eukaryota; Metazoa; Chordata; Mammalia; Diprotodontia; Phascolarctidae
Source: RefSeq, a predicted model, not a curated record
UAUUUUACAGAUGAGGAAAUGGAGGCUCAGAGAAGGGGCAGGAACUCACUUGGCAACUUGUAGGGUCACACCCCCAGAUUGUUGGAGAGCAAAGACCAGUAGCCCAUGGAGCAGACAGGUCCUGCAUAUUUCCAUUGAAGUCCUGCUCUAAUUCCUCCCUAUGUUGUAGGGAUGACCUUAGACUCUCAAAGACUGUGCCAAUGGAAUGAAAACACUGUCAAGUUGUACCGUGCUGGAAAGGCAUGCAUUGGCCCAGGUGUCUGCAUGUUUUCUAAGGUACAACUAAGUGUGGAGACGCUCGUCACCUCAAGGGCAACCAUCUAGGAUGGACUUUGCAAGUCAUAGCACCUCAUGGAAACAUUUACUGGGGCGUAAAGGGGCUGUGACCUGUGUUGGUGGAAGCGUAGGUUGCUUUCAAAGAAUGGUAGA